AUCUCGCCAUGGCACCAGCUGCCUCUUCUUCCCCAGCACUUAGGUGGGCUUCCUGGAUCAAUGGUCACUCUGGACAAGCCCCUGGAUCCCAUGGUCUCUGUGACCAACCAGCCAAAUUGCUGCUUGCAAACAUCUGCUUCCAUUGAAGGCUUCCUGCAGCCCACCAGCUCUCUGGAACUUUCUGGAGCCAAACCUUUCCCAGACUGCCUAAAAGUGCCAGUUGGCUUCUGGAUGGAGGUGUGGCCUGCCACGUUGUGGCAGGGCCCCCAGAGCCAUGUGGACCCAGCCCUUUCUUUGGACACCACUGCCCAGUGCUGAUGACACGUGCACUCUCCUUGCAGCACCCACUGCAGAUGUCUGACCAGGACCCACAGGAGACGGCUGUGAAGUACUUGACCAUUCCCAAGGGGCUGUGUAGGUUCCAGACAUUUCUGGGCCGCUACGCUUGAUCAGGUUUGGGGACCCAGAGGUGAAUCCGAUCCAGCCCAGCAUUUGUGGGAUCCGAGUCUAGCAAAGAAGAGAGGUUCGUGCUCUGGGACAGUUAGCCCUGGAGCCUUGAAUGGUGCUUACAAGGGGCAUCUGUUGCCAAGGCCAAGACUUCAGUGCACAGAAGUGGAAACUGAGGCAGUCAUCAGCGAGAUGUGAUUUGCCAAGGUCACACAGCAAGUCAGUGUGUUGCCAAGACUAGGACCCAGACCCCGCCUCCUGGCCCAGGCUCUUUCUCCACAUCUUGAUCCCAGGGCCAGCCUUUGAGAGGCAUGCAAGGUCACUGCACUGUGAGCCAAGGGCUUGGCUCAGGGCCACCUCCACUAAGUGUUGACUGUGUCACCUGAGUCACUCCAUUCUCUGCACUUAGCCUCAGUCACCCAAGAAGGAUGAUCUCUAAGGGGCCCCUCCUCCAAUUGUGAAUCUGAGAUUCUAUGAAUUGGGUAUUUUGGCCAGGCUGUGAGGUCCCCUGUGGCUGGCUGUGGGAUACUGCUUGAGGGGGUUUUCUUCCUCCCAUCAGCCUGAAGCUAAGGAAUGCUGGAGACAGUAGUUGCUUCAGCCUCGGGCUGUGUGGACCACUGAGGAUGGCCUGGGGGUCUGUUUUGUGCACCUUGGAACCCAUCGGAUGCCUCCAACGAUGCAUUUGUCCAGAGCAAGACAAGAACAAGAUACACUUUGACAGCUCUCUGUCAAGAUCCUUGCCCCAAAUCUCCAGAGAAGCAGCCAGGAGUCUCCAUGCUGUUCUGAAGAAGCAGAUUCCCUACCCACCCUUCAAUCCUUCCCAGGAGGUCAUCUUCCUCAAAACCUCUGGAAGAUACACCUCCUCUUCUGUAAUAGAGGUUGAGGGGUGAUGUCCCCCUAGGUCCCCAAUAAAGCUAUACAAGACAGGGGCAAUGGAUCUCACGGCAUGUUCUUGCUAUAAAAAGCCCUUUUUUGGAAAAAAUAAUAAAGAAAGGAAUCAGCCAAUCCCUCCUCGA
This is a long non-coding RNA of Galeopterus variegatus (Sunda flying lemur), 1463 nucleotides long. RefSeq lists it as uncharacterized. The record is from RefSeq and is a predicted model, not a curated record. The transcript is spliced from 2 exons. Lineage: Eukaryota; Metazoa; Chordata; Mammalia; Dermoptera; Cynocephalidae.